GUGGAUGGAUGGAUGGAUGGAUGGAAGGAGGGAUGGAGGGAUGGAUGGAUCCAUGGAUCCAUGGAUCCAUGGAUGGAUGGAACCCCCAGCUGCCCUCCUGGGGUGCGAGGAGGCCUCUGCUGCUCUCACCAUCAGUGAAAGGCCAUAAAUGACUUUUCCAAAGGUUCCCAUUGCCGCUGAUGAGUUUCCCUUCUCCUGCUGAUGGAUGGGGAGGAUCAGAGCACGCCGGGAUUUUUCAGAGGGAAAAUGGGUUUCACACCUGCCCGAGCAUCCCCCGGCAGCAGAGCCUGUGGCCGCCGAACCCACAGGUUUUGGCCAGGACGUGGAUGUUUUCAGCGCCGGGAUAACGCUGUAGGAUUUAUUUCAAUGUAAUAAAUUCAUUAAUACGAAUUUCGGAGCCUGCGAGCAGACAGAGCUCCCGCUAUAUCCAAGCACCAAGCUGAGUUCAGAGCGGGUUUCCCAGACAUGGAGCUAAAUUCCUGGCUGGAUUUCAGGUUGGCUUUAGUGGACACGCACUGGGGCCGCGGGACAAGCCCAGUUUGGGAUUUCCAGGGCUGAGCUGUGGAAUUUCGGUGGAUUUCCCCGGUGGAGAAAGCCGUGGGUGCUGCUACAAUAGAGGAUCCUUAUCAGCGGAUUCCAGCGGGCUCGGCUCCGGUCCCUUGGCAUUUCCAUGCAAACGGGAACGGCUUCCUGAGCCCGUCUGGAAGAAACGCAUCCCUCAGCCUCCCUCCCUCGCAGCCACAGCACAGCAUCGCCGAGAGGAAUUUAUCCGGUGGAAACAGAAGGGGAAGCUCCGCCGGGCUGCGCUUCCUUUCCUCGCGGCGAAAGCCUUGGGAAAAGCAUCCCGGUAAAUCCACGGGGAUGCCAAACACGUGCCUGCAGUUCGGUGUGUGCUCGAGCGCUUUUUUGGGCCGAGCCAGCAGCGGUCCCACAGCUGGGACAGCUCCGGGAGACACCGACACCGACAGCGACAGCGACAGCGACAGCGACAGCGACAGCGACACUUUUCCCCUCAGGCCGGUGCAGUCCCUUUGUUCACCGCAGCCCGGGAGGUUCGUGCCUUCCCUCCCCGGCUCUGCCGCAGUCCCUGGGCCGUGCCCGGACAGGAUCCCGGCUGUUUGCUUUGACUUUGGAAUUACGGCGCUUCGGUUCAGCUCGGCUCAUCUCCGCCUUGUUUAUCUUCCCCAUGGAAACGGCUCCUGGUGCUGCUCAGUAAACAACUCAUUAUCGCAAUUCGUUAUCGCAAUUCGUUAUCGCAAUUCGUUAUCGCAAUUCGUUAUCGCAAUUCGUUAUCGCAAUUGCUGCGGCCCGGGAUCGUCUUCGGAUGUCCCGGGCUGAUUUUAAAACGAGGGCAGCGGCUCGUCCCUGGUUUGUUCAGCUCGGGGGGAGGCUUGAGGUGGGGAUGAGCAGCCUGGAGCUGCUCUUCCCUGUGAGAGGCGGAGGUGCCACGUGGCCACCGGCAAUAAAAACCGGUGACAGUGGCA
This is a long non-coding RNA of Corvus hawaiiensis (hawaiian crow), 1484 nucleotides long. RefSeq lists it as uncharacterized. Lineage: Eukaryota; Metazoa; Chordata; Aves; Passeriformes; Corvidae. The record is from RefSeq and is a predicted model, not a curated record. The transcript has 2 exons.